Molecule: non-coding RNA, 148 nt
Filed under: Pan troglodytes (chimpanzee)
Lineage: Eukaryota; Metazoa; Chordata; Mammalia; Primates; Hominidae
Source: Rfam by way of RNAcentral
GCCGGGUGUGGUGGCGGGUACCUGUAAUCCCAGCUACUUGGGAGGCUGAGGCAGGAGGAUCACUUGAACCUGGGAGCUGGAGGUUGCAAUGAGCCAUUAUCACACCGCUGUACUCCAGCCUGGGUGACAAAGUGAGACUCUGUCUCAA